AUGGGAAGGCCCGGGGGUCGGGCUCCAUGGAGACGCCGGGGAGUCCCGCGCGCUGCGUGGCGGUGGCGGUGGCGGUGGCGGUGGCGGCGGCGGCGGCGGCACAAUGCCCGGCGCGGGGAACUCCCCGGCGGGGGGAGGCAGAGGCGCGCGGAGAUCCCGGCCCCGCGGGGCGCGUCCGGGGAGGCAGCCGGAGCCCGCGCGGGAAACCAAGUGGAAAUCUCCCGCAUAUCAAGUAACGGGCAAAGCAUCCUCAGCCUUGGAGCAAGGCAGGCCAGGGAGCAUCUACACAACCGUGACCCUCUGUGUGGGGGAGUUUCUCUUGCCAUGGUGCACGUGUGCACGGAAAUGGAAGUGGCUUGGAGGAAGUAUUUCCGGUGGCUCUGCUGGUGCGCUUUGUAGAGGGUGACUUCUAGAGUGGCUGGGCUUGGCUCUUGCCCCUCUGGGAAUCUUCAGGAAGAGGGGACAGAAAGAAGAGGAAGUGCCUGAGACACAAGCAGGAAAGGUGUCAGGUGCCGUAGGGGCAGGGCUGCCAGGCGUACCCAGGACACCCAGGUAAACUGGAACCUCAGAUACACAAUAAUCACUUGGUAUGAGUGUGUCCCAAAGAUUGCACGGGAUAUACUUAUCCUAUAAUUUUUUUUUGUCUUCUCUCUGGAAUUAGUGUUUUACUGGUUAUGCUGUCUUACAUCUGGCAAGCCUGCAU
Molecule: long non-coding RNA, 703 nt
Filed under: Rhinopithecus bieti (black snub-nosed monkey)
Lineage: Eukaryota; Metazoa; Chordata; Mammalia; Primates; Cercopithecidae
Description: lncRNA (ENSRBIG00000046624.1)
Source: RNAcentral